RNAcentral lists this long non-coding RNA (568 nucleotides) under Jatropha curcas. RNAcentral describes it as "long non-coding RNA (JCUR_LNC002751)". Lineage: Eukaryota; Viridiplantae; Streptophyta; Magnoliopsida; Malpighiales; Euphorbiaceae. The record is from RNAcentral.
AUUUAUGAAAAAAAGAUUAUGAAUCGUCCAUCUUAUAAAAUUUUACAUUUUAAAAUUCAGUUUUGGCCUGUAAACAGAUUUAAUAAUAAAAAAAUAUUAUUGAAAAAACAUUUUAGGAGUAAAGCGUAAGAGACGUUAUAAGAAAAUUUUAUAUUUGAAUUUGCUUAGCAAAAUGAAAAAUUUAUUGAAAGAAAGUCCUGGCUAGGUAGCUAGUUCUUACCUUUCCCAAUAGCAGCUAAUUCCCUAGCUGAAGUGAGAGAAGGGGAAAAGGAAAUGGUAGCCAAAAGAAUGCAAAUCAGGAGAAAGGCCUUCUUCAUGUUGGAGAUGAUUCUAUAUUUUUGUUUGCAAUUAUGUGUUUCUUCGAGUACUCUUAUUUAUAGUGAUAAAUCAGCAAGCCAAAUUUGAAUUGUAAUAACAUAAUUAUUUGCAACUAUAUGUUAAAAAAUAUAUAAAGCCAAGACUUAAUCAAUUACAACUUGUUUCCACAAUAAAUACACAAUUAUUUGCAACUAUAUGUUAAAAAAUAUAUAAAGCCAAAGACUUUGAUCAAUUACAACGUGACUCCACA